GAGCGGAGCGCGGAGCGGCCGAAGUGCAUGCUGGGAAGCGUAGUCUCUCCGGCGGCUCAGGUCGUUGGGUAACGGGCGAGGAAACAGAAACUCUUCCAGUCUUGAACAUUACAAAAACGAAAACAGCAGCAGUUUCUUGGUAAUUUACACUGAAAUCCUGGCCAUGUGUACUCAGCAGUAAAUCCUUUUUAAUUCAAUUAAGCUUAUUCCCUGGUAA
Molecule: long non-coding RNA, 217 nt
Organism: Podarcis raffonei (Aeolian wall lizard)
Lineage: Eukaryota; Metazoa; Chordata; Lepidosauria; Squamata; Lacertidae
Exons: 2
Source: RefSeq, a predicted model, not a curated record